RNAcentral lists this ribosomal RNA (253 nucleotides) under uncultured bacterium. Its description in RNAcentral is "partial 16S ribosomal RNA". It matches the Rfam family "Bacterial small subunit ribosomal RNA", at positions 524 to 776 of the family's 1533-position model. The record is from RNAcentral.
GACGUAGGGAGCAAGCGUUGUCCGGAAUUACUGGGCGUAAAGAGCUCGUAGGCGGGACCGUAAGUCCGAAAGGAAAUCUCAAGGCUCAACUUUGGGGCUUUUUCGGAUACUGCGGUUCUUGAGGAUAUCAGGGGACAGUAGAAUUCUCGGUGUAGCGGUGAAAUGCGUAGAUAUCGGGAGGAAUACCAGUGGCGAAGGCGACUGUCUGGGAUAUUCCUGACGCUGAGGAGCGAAAGCGUGGGUGGCAAACGGG